AAGCUCAGAGGAGCUUCCUUGGUUGGCCAUAUUCCAAGCAUAUCACACAUCGUUGCUAGAAUUAAGUGCUGUCUGAAUGACUUCACUGGAAGAGGACAAGUAGUAGCUCAUGCCUGGUGCUUCCUGGACUUUGCCUUAUAUCCAUUUUUGAGUUGCUGAUUUAAACUUGUGUCUUUUUGCUGUAAUAAGCCAUAACCCCCAGAGCUGAUACGGCCAUGAAGAAAUAUGUUGAAAAGGAUAUCAAAAGUCACAGAAAUACAGCCUCUCAGUUGGUAGUUAUUUCAUUUAAUGAAGGCAUUUUUCCGCAGUGAAGAGGAGACCUGGAUGAAAAGAUCUCUAGAAAAAAGAGAGGAAAUUCCUGCAGAAUGUAUAUAGAAUAGUGGAAUUGGAUUCACAAAAGGAGACAUCAUCUAAUGGAGUUAAGUUCAAGUCUUUCCAAACUUGGAACACAUGCAAAACCUUAAUCCAACGUCAGAUUUUUAAAAAAUGUGUGGACACAAAGCACCGAGCACUCACAUUCUUGAGGAGAAAAGGCAAAGUUGAAAAAUAGUUGCUAUCUUCUUUCUGAAUAGCUGAAGCUUCACUCAUCUUCAAAUUCUGAACUUUUUGCUGCAGUUUGUGGACCUGGAGAGAAAAAAAUCUAACAUUUUAGUCAAAAAUAUACUUAAAAUAUACCUUACAAUAGAUGGAUUGGAUUGAUGGUUUAAAGAUUAUGUGAAAUUAAAAAGUUCGGUACUAGUCUAUGUAAAUCAAGAUGUCUGAGUUGAAUGAACUACAUCCAGGAUAUGGAGUAAGUGUCAGUGAGACAAGCAGGACUCUCAUAGAGGUCUCAAAAUCAGAUCCUACCUUCAGCAAGCAACUAAGUGUCCCUGCCAUCUUUAAAGGGAGGCAUUAUUACAGGCAGAUCCUAUGAACUUGGGACUUGAACUAACUACUUUUUUAAAGUGAUUUUGCUGUUAAUUACUUUUUCUUUUCUUCCAGCAGCUACCUUUUCUUUCCUUCAUUUCUUUUACCUUGUUUCUCCCUGUACCUUAAUAAAAAUUUUUUUCCACCAACUCAACAAAGGAUGCCAUAAAACACAAAUAUAAAAAUAAGUCAAUAAUUUUUCCACUUGUAAAUUACUUAUAGUGAUUUUCUAUUUGGCUUUGCAGCUUCUAAUCUUACUGUAGAGACAAGACAUAAAACAUACUUGAGGAAGGAAAUAAGCUAAAAUAUCAACAUAAAUUGCAUUGGGAAAAUGUUUUUCAUUACUGUAUUUUGCAAAUUCUUUGAAAGAAAAAAUCUGUGAAAAAUGCAGCCAAACUAUUGAAUAGUAACUCUUAUUUAUUGAAUAAAUGACUAGCUAAAGUUAAGUAUAACGUUUCCUCCAUUAUCGUAUCCAUAGGGUGAGCCUAUGGCAGUGGCCAGAACUUGCAAAUAGCAUGCUUGGUUCCCACAGCAAAGAACACACACAAACACUACAUGCAUAUUGAGUAAACAGUAAUGAUGGUCAUCAAAACUAUAAUUUCAGAAUCAUAAGAUUAAAAGGGAUUAACAUUUUCUUUCUUACCAUUAUAAAUAAAAAAGUUUAAUAUAAUAAACCCAAAACAUCAACUCAUCUAAACAAAAUAUUAUUGGUAAAUCUAUAAAGUACUCAUUCCCCAAUCUUUAUUUUUAGGCAAAUACAAAGGCUAUGAGCACAGAAAAAAAUAAAUAAUUUACCUAGAGAAAUGACUAUAAUUAUAAUACUAUAAUUUAUAAUACAAUAUAAUUUAAUACUAUAUCUUUGUCUUUUUAUUGUGCAUAUAUUAUAUAAAAUUUCUUCCAGAAUCUAUUGUGUUUGUCAGUAUCUAUUAUGUUGUUUACUGCCUCUUUCGUAAAGUAUCCAAAAUACAUUUCUCUAACAGUUUAGUACUAGGAAAAUGUUUGUCUUUCUAGAAAAACUGGAAGGCUUAUUGUUAUUUCACAAAGAUAGAUGUACUGCCCAUUAUAUGCUCCUUUUUGCUUUGGCUGUUAAGCAAACUCAGAGCUAGGUUUUGCACUCAACUGCUGUUACUUUCUUUAACUUAGGUUUUAUGGAAUUUUCUGUCCUCCACCCCAAACCAUCAUUACUUGACUCAUGUUUUUACGCCCAUUUCAGAGCAUUGUCUUGUAUUAUAAAUCUCUUCAAAUUUUUUUUGGAAAUGGAUAGGUAUAAAUAUUAAAAGGGUGAAGAAAUAAGUAUU
Molecule: long non-coding RNA, 2204 nt
Organism: Physeter macrocephalus (sperm whale)
Lineage: Eukaryota; Metazoa; Chordata; Mammalia; Artiodactyla; Physeteridae
Exons: 6
Source: RefSeq, a predicted model, not a curated record